Molecule: long non-coding RNA, 801 nt
Organism: Oncorhynchus tshawytscha (Chinook salmon)
Lineage: Eukaryota; Metazoa; Chordata; Actinopteri; Salmoniformes; Salmonidae
Source: Ensembl
GGAGAGACUGAGGGCCUGUCUCUGUCUCCUAGGUAACCAGGAGAGACUGAGGGCCUGUCUCUGUCUCCUAGGUAACCAGGAGAGACUGAGGGCCUGUCUCUGUCUCCUAGGUAACCAGGAGAGACUGAGGGCCUGUCUCUGUCUCCUAGGUAACCAGGAGAGACUGAGGGGGUUUAGUGAAUGUAAUGUAGCAGUGUUCACGUCAUUGACGUCGCAAUCAUGCUGUCCAUCAAGUCCUCCUUCCGAUGAAUGCCCUAACCUCGGGGGGACCUGGACGCUGAUUUUGAUUGAUUGACAAGUCACUAUGAACCGUCCUUCUGAUCUGAGCGAGAAGUGUGUGUGUUGUGUGUGAAACGUUAAUAUGUUCUGUGUGAAACGUUAAUAUGUUCUGUGUGCGUUCGUGCCGGUCUGUCUCCCGUGACGUUGCAUGUUGUCCACGGAACCACAGUACUACUACAGUUGCUUAGGAACGUUGCCGUUGUAAAAAGACCAGAUUGGUGCCCAUUCAACACAUCUAAUCUAAUGAAAGAGGAUCAUUUGUCAUAUCUGUUAUGAUGUAUGUUUUGUAACAAACCCACAUGUAGUUACUUAAGUCCCGAUAUAUUGGACUGUUUUCCCUGCGUAACAUGUAGAAGUUGUCCCUUUUUCAGGUUUAGAAGAAGAGGUGACCGCUAAAUGCUAACUCCCAUCCGUAUAAGCUGGUAGCAUAGCUAGCAUACAGAAAUCGUUGAUGGUAGUCAUGUCGUUUAAAAAAAAAACUAAUGCACUUGAUUGGUGACGAUGAGUUGAUAACGUCCACAC